GAUGAACGCUGGCGGUAUGCUUAACACAUGCAAGUCGAACGGUCUCUUCGGAGAUAGUGGCGGACGGGUGAGUAACGCGUGAGAAUCUGGCUCUAGGUCUGGGACAACCAUUGGAAACGGUGGCUAAUACCGGAUGUGCCGAAAGGUGAAAGGUUAACUGCCUGGAGAUGAGCUCGCGUCUGAUUAGCUAGUUGGUAGGGUAAGAGCUUACCAAGGCGACGAUCAGUAGCUGGUCUGAGAGGACGAUCAGCCACACUGGGACUGAGACAC
Molecule: ribosomal RNA, 270 nt
Filed under: Rhizonema sp. 'cyanobiont of Coccocarpia sp.'
Lineage: Bacteria; Bacillati; Cyanobacteriota; Cyanophyceae; Nostocales; Rhizonemataceae
Also listed under: 1 other name
Description: partial 16S ribosomal RNA
Rfam family: Bacterial small subunit ribosomal RNA
Source: RNAcentral